RNAcentral lists this long non-coding RNA (217 nucleotides) under Jatropha curcas. RNAcentral describes it as "long non-coding RNA (JCUR_LNC002419)". The record is from RNAcentral. Lineage: Eukaryota; Viridiplantae; Streptophyta; Magnoliopsida; Malpighiales; Euphorbiaceae.
AAACUCACCAAUAUUAAUAAGAUGUUGGUCAGGGUAGUAAACGACUACAUAAAUUUGAUUCCGAAAAAUGCACUUUGCUGAAAAGAUAAAAGAAUUCAGAGACUAAACCUUUUAGUUCUACUAAAAAAGAAAAAAGAAAAAGAAAAACUUACCAACUUUGACAGAAAGAAAGCGAAUUGCAAAAUGUGUUAUCUACAGCCUAUAUUACAAAAAAUUC